AUACGGAGGAUGCAAGCGUUAUCCGGAUUUAUUGGGUUUAAAGGGUGCGUAGGCGGAUGAUUAAGCGUGAGGUGAAAUGCCACUGCUCAACAGUGGAACUGCCUCGCGAACUGGUGUCUUGAAUGCUCCUGCCGUGGGAGGAAUGUGUGGUGUAGCGGUGAAAUGCAUAGAGAUCACACAGAACACCGAUUGCGAAGGCAUCUCACGAAGGGGUGAUUGACGCUGAGGCACGAAAGCGUGGGGAUCAAACAGGAUUAGAUACCCUGGUAGUCCACGCAGUAAACGAUGAUAACUAACCGCUGGGUCGUAGUGAUUCAGUGGCCAAGCGAAAGCGAUAAGUUAUCCACCUGGGGAGUACGACCGCAAGGUUGAAACUCAAAGGAAUUGACGGGG
This 393-nucleotide ribosomal RNA is filed under the name uncultured bacterium. RNAcentral describes it as "partial 16S ribosomal RNA". It matches the Rfam family "Bacterial small subunit ribosomal RNA", at positions 523 to 918 of the family's 1533-position model. The record is from RNAcentral.